Transfer RNA from Felis catus (domestic cat), 85 nucleotides. It matches the Rfam family "tRNA". Rfam says of the family: Transfer RNA (tRNA) molecules are approximately 80 nucleotides in length. NCBI's taxonomy places the organism in Eukaryota, Metazoa, Chordata, Mammalia, Carnivora, Felidae. The record is from Rfam.
GCCUGGGUGGCUCAGUCGGUUGAGUGUCUGACUUCCACUCAGGGCAUGAUCUCACAGUUUGUGAGUUCAAGCCCUACAUUGGGCU